GAGGAGCCCAGAGCCUGAAUCAGUGUGUGUGUUAGUGGAAGCGUCUGGAAAGGCGCGCGAUACAGGGUGACAGCCCCGUACACAAAAAUGCACAUAUUGUGAGCUCGAUGAGUAGGGCGGGACACGUGGUAUCCUGUCUGAAUAUGGGGGGACCAUCCUCCAAGGCUAAAUACUCCUGACUGACCGAUAGUGAACCAGUACCGUGAGGGAAAGGCGAAAAGAACCCCGGCGAGGGGAGUGAAAAAGAACCUGAAACCGUGUACGUACAAGCAGUGGGAGCCUCUUAAUGGGGUGACUGCGUACCUUUUGUAUAAUGGGUCAGCGACUUAUAUUCUGUAGCAAGGUUAACCGAAUAGGGGAGCCGAAGGGAAACCGAGUCUUAACUGGGCGUUAAGUUGCAGGGUAUAGACCCGAAACCCGGUGAUCUAGCCAUGGGCAGGUUGAAGGUUGGGUAACACUAACUGGAGGACCGAACCGACUAAUGUUGAAAAAUUAGCGGAUGACUUGUGGCUGGGGGUGAAAGGCCAAUCAAACCGGGAGAUAGCUGGUUCUCCCCGAAAGCUAUUUAGGUAGCGCCUCGUGAAUUCAUCUCCGGGGGUAGAGCACUGUUUCGGCAAGGGGGUCAUCCCGACUUACCAACCCGAUGCAAACUGCGAAUACCGGAGAAUGUUAUCACGGGAGACACACGGCGGGUGCUAACGUCCGUCGUGAAGAGGGAAACAACCCAGACCGCCAGCUAAGGUCCCAAAGUCAUGGUUAAGUGGGAAACGAUGUGGGAAGGCCCAGACAGCCAGGAUGUUGGCUUAGAAGCAGCCAUCAUUUAAAGAAAGCGUAAUAGCUCACUGGUCGAGUCGGCCUGCGCGGAAGAUGUAACGGGGCUAAACCAUGCACCGAAGCUGCGGCAGCGACACUAUGUGUUGUUGGGUAGGGGAGCGUUCUGUAAGCCUGUGAAGGUGGCCUGUGAGGGUUGCUGGAGGUAUCAGAAGUGCGAAUGCUGACAUAAGUAACGAUAAAGCGGGUGAAAAGCCCGCUCGCCGGAAGACCAAGGGUUCCUGUCCAACGUUAAUCGGGGCAGGGUGAGUCGACCCCUAAGGCGAGGCCGAAAGGCGUAGUCGAUGGGAAACAGGUUAAUAUUCCUGUACUUGGUGUUACUGCGAAGGGGGGACGGAGAAGGCUAUGUUGGCCGGGCGACGGUUGUCCCGGUUUAAGCGUGUAGGCUGGUUUUCCAGGCAAAUCCGGAAAAUCAAGGCUGAGGCGUGAUGACGAGGCACUACGGUGCUGAAGCGACAAAUGCCCUGCUUCCAGGAAAAGCCUCUAAGCAUCAGGUAACAUCAAAUCGUACCCCAAACCGACACAGGUGGUCAGGUAGAGAAUACCAAGGCGCUUGAGAGAACUCGGGUGAAGGAACUAGGCAAAAUGGUGCCGUAACUUCGGGAGAAGGCACGCUGAUAUGUAGGUGAAGCGACUUGCUCGUGGAGCUGAAAUCAGUCGAAGAUACCAGCUGGCUGCAACUGUUUAUUAAAAACACAGCACUGUGCAAACACGAAAGUGGACGUAUACGGUGUGACGCCUGCCCGGUGCCGGAAGGUUAAUUGAUGGGGUUAGCGGUAACGCGAAGCUCUUGAUCGAAGCCCCGGUAAACGGCGGCCGUAACUAUAACGGUCCUAAGGUAGCGAAAUUCCUUGUCGGGUAAGUUCCGACCUGCACGAAUGGCGUAAUGAUGGCCAGGCUGUCUCCACCCGAGACUCAGUGAAAUUGAACUCGCUGUGAAGAUGCAGUGUACCCGCGGCAAGACGGAAAGACCCCGUGAACCUUUACUAUAGCUUGACACUGAACAUUGAGCCUUGAUGUGUAGGAUAGGUGGGAG
This 1867-nucleotide ribosomal RNA is filed under the name Escherichia coli. Its description in RNAcentral is "partial 23S ribosomal RNA". It matches the Rfam family "Bacterial large subunit ribosomal RNA", at positions 292 to 2153 of the family's 2925-position model. Lineage: Bacteria; Pseudomonadati; Pseudomonadota; Gammaproteobacteria; Enterobacterales; Enterobacteriaceae. The record is from RNAcentral.